This 454-nucleotide ribosomal RNA is filed under the name uncultured bacterium. RNAcentral's name for it is "bacterial SSU rRNA". It matches the Rfam family "Bacterial small subunit ribosomal RNA", at positions 28 to 479 of the family's 1533-position model. The record is from RNAcentral.
GACGAACGCUGGCGGCGUGCCUAACACAUGCAAGUCGAACGGAACUGUUUUGAAAGAUUUCUUCGGAAUGAAUUUGAUUUAGUUUAGUGGCGGACGGGUGAGUAACGCGUGAGUAACCUGCCUUCAAGAGGGGGAUAACAUUCUGAAAAGAAUGCUAAUACCGCAUGACAUAUCGGAAUCACAUGGUUUUGAUAUCAAAGAUUUUAUCGCUUGAAGAUGGACUCGCGUCCGAUUAGUUAGUUGGUGAGGUAACGGCUCACCAAGACCGCGAUCGGUAGCCGGACUGAGAGGUUGAACGGCCGCAUUGGGACUGAGACACGGCCCAGACUCCUACGGGAGGCAGCAGUGGGGGAUAUUGCGCAAUGGGGGCAACCCUGACGCAGCAACGCCGCGUGAAGGAUGAAGGUUUUCGGAUUGUAAACUUCUUUUAUUAAGGACGAAAAAUGACGGUACU